ACCUGAAGAGCAUGUAAUGACACAUCUGUCAGUGGUUUCACCAUUCUCAAUCAAUCAGAAGUGAGGGUUUCAAUAGCUUCUAACACUUAAUGUAAGUCCCUGACAAAAUACUUUGUUGACAGCUACCCUGAAUGUCCUAUUCAUUGAGUCUAGAACAUCGCCUUGUAUGUCACUCUGGACAUGCAGAUAAUCUGAGGUAGUGUUGCACAAUACGAUAUGACGAUUGUAUUGUGUAAUUGAAAAUUCAAUGUAUAGAUCAGAUUGGGACCAUGAUGUAUCACCUUACAUAUUGUAAACAAUUGAGGUUUCAAUUUGUUUCGUACAAAAAAAAUUUACCCAGACAUUACCCAAUUAAACUCACUAGGGUCCCUGGGAAAAAGAGCCAUAAAAAUAUCAUCCCUAUUAAAGCAAUGUUUAUUCCCUACUCAUAUAUAUUAUACUCUAAACCUUUGCUGGAAAAGGGUGGUUACACUUUAACAAUUAAUUCAUUUGGGAUUAUAUAUCUCCAUAUCAUGGAUUUUAUAGGUGGCAAUCUUGCAGCCCUAAUCUUGAAUACCUGCUGCUUAAAGGAGGAUGAAAACUUGUUUUCUAGACAAUGUACACAGGAUAAUUAAUACCAAUAUAAAACAUAUUACCUCUAUGCAAUGAUGCAUUCCUUUUUAUCUUUCAUUUUCAUUUGGAAGAUUUUUCCCACUUCCCCUUCCUUGAUACAUGUAUAUCUCUGUACAGUUGACUCAGAUAUGAAUUUACUCAGAAUUAUGGUUACCUGUACAUGAAGAGCAGAUUGUAUGAUUGCUAUGACUUAAUUACAGUUACACAUUGAAUUUGCUUUUAUACUUAUAAAAAGGAAUGCAGUUGUCAUGAAUUGAUUUACAAUAUUAUCAAAAUAUCUAUCUUUGGAUAGUAGAAUGUUCCAUGGUCAGCAUAAUACAUGUUUAUCCUAAAAGUGGGGUUGCAGACCAGUCAUAGUGUAUCAGUAGCCUUAACUGGUAUGUGCUAGUUAAAGACUAUUGAUUACAAAUGACAUACCUUUUAUAAAAACAUUUGGAUGAUUCAUAAAGAAUAAUUUCAAAGACCAUAAUCCAUGUUUUAUUUAUAACUGUACCAUAGGCAGCAAAUCCUGUCUCAAAUGUGUAAGAAAAUAUUCAUUGUUAACAUUAUAUUCCCAUUUUAGUCCAAAAAAAGUGUUGAAUCUCUAUCUAAUGUUUCACUCCUUGCAAGAUUAGUUUUUGACAGUUGCUGAAAAUAUGUUUGGGAACAUAUUUUUGUGUUUGUUUUCAGGGUACUAGAAACAUCCUUUACUGUUUUUCGAUUUCUACACAACUUGAUUCACCCCUACAUUGGGUGGUGUUAAGUAUAGUGUUGAAAGCAGGUGUUGGUGUUGCUCAGCACCAUCACUAGCAAUAACACUGUUUGAUGUGAUCUUUUGAACCAAGUGUCAUAGUUGGCGUUGAAGAUCUACAUGCAUUUUACAAUUGACUAAUACUUGACCCUAAGGAUUGGUUCAGGGUUUGAUGUUGGUGUUGGCAAUUUCAAGCUCAUUAACAGAAUGAAAACAACACUGAAAUUAGCUUUUACAGCAAAGAUGAGUGCAAAUUAUCAUAGUUUUAUUGUAAGAAUAUAACUCUUUUGAUUUCUUAAUGGGUUUUUGCAUUCCAUAUGAUGAGAUUUAAGUGCAAUUUCUCCUCAUUGUUGCUUUCGUUGUCAAGACUUUUUGUGUGAAGUUGAGAUGAUUGCACAGAGCUGUGAUAUCAUCACUCAGUAUAGAGCUAUCAAUGAUGUAUUUAACAUAAUCAGUCCCAUGUUGCAACACGAUUCAGCAGCCUUUUUACGUUCUCUCAACACCAGCACCAAUGCACUACUUGAAAUCACCCACUGUAAGCAACUAAGACUGACUAAGUCCAUGCCGGGGUAAUAAAAGUCUGUAAGCCAAACCAAGUAUUUGGAUAUUAUUUCACUGAGCACCCUAGAUAUAUUAACCAGAUUAUGAUUGUUAAUGUUACCAGACAAUUCACCUUUUGCAAAGUUAAGGAGCCUGAAACACAAAUGUUUGUAUCCAUAGUUAAUCAUUUAUGGGAUGUGUAAACAGUUGUUAGAUUCAUCCAUUCAGAUAAUGGACCAGCUGGGUGUUUCAUAAAGCUGUUCUUAAGUUUUGAGCUACGUUACAAACGAUUGGUGAAUCUUUCUUGUGGUGAAUGAUACAAACCAGAUUUUCAUUGGUGUUCAUGUAGUUCCUGGGAAAGGAUCACCAGCCAUUUGUUAAGUUUCUCGUAACUUACGGACAGCUAUAUGAAAUACCCACCUGUGUUAGGAAGAGAUUCAUUUAAACACAGCUCAAAGAAUCAAGUCCCUAUUGCAUGUUUCUUAUUGGUUGAAAAUCAAGUUGUGUUUGAUUUUAGGAAUGAAGUCUGAUUGCAGCUCUUCCUGCAACAGGCCCAAGAAGACUUUCUAAAAAUCAUGUGGGUGCCUCUGAAGAUUAAAGGUACAAAAUUCUACUGUGUCUGUUAUAAGAAAUAUUUUGGAAGAAAAAGAAAGAAACCUUUCAAAGUUAAUUACUUCUGUUAUAAAGCUGUAAAUAAUGAACUACAAAGAGGUCAUUAGAUUAGAAUUUGUUUUGAGAAAAAUAUUAUUAAAAAGCAUGAAUUUUAUGAAAAGA
Lytechinus variegatus (green sea urchin) is the source of this 2656-nucleotide long non-coding RNA. RefSeq lists it as uncharacterized. NCBI's taxonomy places the organism in Eukaryota, Metazoa, Echinodermata, Echinoidea, Temnopleuroida, Toxopneustidae. The transcript is spliced from 2 exons. The record is from RefSeq and is a predicted model, not a curated record.